Molecule: non-coding RNA, 23 nt
Filed under: Cricetulus griseus (Chinese hamster)
Lineage: Eukaryota; Metazoa; Chordata; Mammalia; Rodentia; Cricetidae
Source: RNAcentral
AGCUUCCGGUAAAAGAGCUCGGC